Long non-coding RNA from Rhipicephalus microplus (southern cattle tick), 495 nucleotides. NCBI's taxonomy places the organism in Eukaryota, Metazoa, Arthropoda, Arachnida, Ixodida, Ixodidae. The record is from RefSeq and is a predicted model, not a curated record.
GCUCUUGAUACCUUUCGUACUCGCUCACAUUUCAACCUGUUGAAUCAGUAAUGAGAAAGCGAAAGUUUACGCUUAUUCUAAAACAAAGAGACUGGUGCGCAAUGAAUGCCGCAAGGGGACCCUGCUGACGGGAAACGCGGGAAACGGCGUGGCAGCUGGACCGCUUUGCAUAAAGUGGGGCUGGUUGUGAAGACGCUGUCAAAGCGGCUGCGAUGGCAGUGUACACGGUUGAAGACAUCCAGAAGCUUGCUGAGGACAAGUUGGACAAGGGUGCAAGUCGAUACAUUGCUCUUGGUGCUGGUCGUGAACAAACUCUUAGGGAGAACACCCGGGCCUUUCAGAGGAUACGUUUCAGACCCCAAAUCUUCGUGGACGUGGAGAAAGUCAACACAUCGGCCACCUUGUUAGGACAGGCAGUAUCUUUGCCAGUAGGCCUUGCUCCUUCAGCGGCUCAGAAAAUCAUGAACCCGGAAGGGGAGAUCGGCUCUGCAAAAG